Molecule: long non-coding RNA, 4138 nt
Organism: Corvus hawaiiensis (hawaiian crow)
Lineage: Eukaryota; Metazoa; Chordata; Aves; Passeriformes; Corvidae
Exons: 4
Source: RefSeq, a predicted model, not a curated record
GUAUUUCCUGAGGACGUUGGGAAGAACUAGAUUAACCAGGCUGACUAAUGCAGUUUCAUGGUAACUUGGUUCUGUGUCUCGUACUUGUCUAGUCUGACACUGUCCCCAACAACUGGUUCAUUGCUCAAAAUCAAUGUCUUCAUUAAUUCCUCAAGAUGUUUGGGAUUUUUUUGUGCUUCUCCUCCAUUUACUGCCCUGCUCACUGAGCUUGUAUAAAACAAUUUUGCAGGAUUGCUAGAAGUUUAAAACAGCUAGUAAUUCUAGCCCUGUCCUUUAAUAACCAGUAAGUGUUUGCUAUAACAUGGCUUAAUUCUUUCUAAACCCAAUUUCCCCUAUCUUUAUUGAAAGACUUAAUGGUUAUAUCUCAUAAUACAGUAUUAUAAACUUCUGAACUCCAAAGCCAUGAUGGCUAAGGGACACUCAUGUUCUUAUUGCUGCUUUUCUGCCUCUUAAAAAAAAAGUUCAGAAGAGCUCAUCUACACAAGUUUUCCUGAGCUGUAGUCACAGGAAGGACAAGGCUGUGAGCAAGAGAACCACACGGAGGAGGAAAACACUAGUGGCAGGAACAUGGUAUUUUCCACCUGGUCUUGUCUCUUUUAUAAGGUGAACUGUCUGCCUUCAGUAGUAUCACCCUCUAGGAAUCUCCACUGAACCCAGCGCUUCAUUUCAGAUGUGGCUGAGGGAAGAAAACCUCAUGCAAAGUGCAAGGCUGACACCUGGAGGGACUGCGAGAGGCAGAUGGGGAGCCUGGAGCAGCCACACAUCCUGCAAAACAGCUGGGUGGGGGAAGCUCAGAGUGGGUGGCAAGAUCCCAGGAUUUGAAAGUAUGCUUUUCUAGUGAAGGGAUGCUCUCAAUAUGCUUCUCUCUCCCCUUUUCCAACAAUAAAGAAAAAUACAGAUUUCUAUUUCAGAUUUUCCAUGCCUGUUUUUAGGAGUAGAGAAGAAACACAGGAGCUAUGACUGUGUCACUUAAUUAUUCACUUCUUCCAUGCUCAGGAAUGUUUGGAUCAAAACUUAUCUUGGUCAAUAAGUUGCUACAAAUAAUGCAAGGUUGUUUUAUCAGUUGGUUGGUCUAACAUAUUUGAACUGCUGCGUAUCAGACUUCCUACUGCUUUGCCAUUUGUGUAACUGCUGAAACACAGACUUGCAGAGCGAUUCCUGCUGUCAAAGCUGCAGCUGGAAGAUUUGGCAUUAGGUAGAGUUUAUUCUUUUCACGUCUGGUUCUGCCAGCACCCACGGUAAGGCUUUUCCUGAAGCUGAUCCUAAUCAAGGAAAGCAAGGCAGCUUCUAGGACAAAGUCUUCAUGCUUUUUGAAGUUUCUUUCCAGCCUGGCAAUCACUCUUUCAUAACACUCUUUCAUAACACUUGUUCAAAUCUUUCACUUGUUCAUAAUCUCUCUUCCCUGACAGGAAUUUUCUCAGUAUUUUAGUGAAUGCUUGUUUUGCUUGAACUAAUUUUAGAAUAUGUUAGUAGCCAAGUUAUUUAUCGUUCUGGCAUUACCAUACACUUAGUAGCUCACAGACCCAAAGAUUAGAUGUCCAUUACAUAUCCUUAAUUCUCUUUGUCAUUGCCAGUGUGGUUCCAAUCAUAAAAUUUGCUUAUCAGUGAGUAGUUGCUUAUGGAAAUGGGAGAAAUAAACCAACAAAAAACAACAAUCAACAGUUAUUUUCAGAACUCUUUUAUGCAUUUCUAUUAUCCCACCUGCACUAUAGCUCCCUGAGUCUCCACGUGUCUUCUCUGGUGUACCUCGAUACUGACUGACUGCAUUUCUUUCCCUUCUAGCCUUCUGACUCCCAAAAUAUCACUGAUGCUCAGUUCAUCCCGAUGAGCAUACUAAACCACCACAAACAUUCUCCACCCAGACCGCCUAAAGGGUGAGCCAUGAAAACGCUUGCUCCAUUCUGGCAAGCAGAAGAGAGGCACAUUAAAAGCUUCAGGAGCAGCACAAGACAUGGGGUGUUCUUGGGAUACUGCUUUUCAGCAGAGACUUGGAGGUCUAAUGCCAUCUCUGUGGCUACUGUUUCUUCAGUGCUUCUCAUUAACUGUGCCACGACUAAUGAGGCAGUAACAUCUUUCUCCCCUCUCCACUCGGACAAUAUUGCCAACGCUGGAUUGUCAGUUAUGCUGAAUUACACUGGAUGACUUGUGGGUACUCAGUGAUGUAGACAAAUAACAGUUCGAGAUCGAGGGUGAACCCUGGCCACUAAACUUGUUUCACUUGUGACUCAUUCCAGACUUAAAACCUGGCUCUUGCUGACAUUUUAUUAACCCAAUUUGUCAUCCUCCUAACCCCCAUUAUCCCACCCAGGCAGAUUAUUUACUUUGAAAAGAUGUGUAGAUAGCUUCCACGCAAAUCCUAAGCAGAGCCAGGUGCCACAGCUAGAUUCUAGAGGGAGUUACAGUCAUGAGACUGUACAUGUGCUGGUAAAAUAACUUCUAUCCUAGAUUCUUCCAAACUCAGUGACAUUCUGUCUGUUUAGAUAUUGUCUGGACUCUCAUUCCUGCAAAGCAGCUUGGCUCCAGUAUGGGGAAGCAUCCACAUUCGUACCUUCAGACCUGUGUGUGUUCCCAAAGGGAUCAGCAAAGAGAAUUCAUCAUUUCCAGUUUGCAAGCUUGAAAAGAGAAAUCCAGGAAGCGCCAAUAAAUCUACUCUGACAGUGGAGUAAAGAGCUGCAAAAGGAGUAACCUGUCAAGAUAAGUGAUUGCUGGGGACACUGGAGGGCACUGAGGUUUAUAGAAAGAAGAACACCGUAAUGAAGCUUUAUUGGGAUGGCAUCACCAAACAAUUGCUGUGAUAGCAACACUCCCAAGCUUGGAAAAAUGCCAGCCUUCCCCCCCCCCCCCCCCAGAACUGACUCAGGCACAAGCCUCCCUGGCUCAGGACUGACACAGAAAAUGGAUGCUUUCUGGAUUGUAAAAUGGCCUCUUUCCGUCUUGGAAAUGACUGAGGAACUGUCCACUUUGGGUUUGGAAAGGACUUGGGAACUGUUUUUUCUCCAUUGAACAAUGACUUUGAAACACAUCUUUGUUUUUCUUGGUUCUGGCUUGAAAAUAAAAGUUCAUUUGGUUGUUUUUUUUUUUUUUUUAAUUGUGUCAUGGUAACACAGAAGGAAGAUUUCUUUACCAGCUCUAAACAGCAGCAGACAAUGGGAAAGGCUUCCAUGGAAUUAGAAACUAAGGAUGGAAGUAGAAGCGAUGAGUCCAUCUCAAAGAUGAAACCCACUUGGUAGAGUAUUUGGGAAAAAUGUAGUAUGGUGUGGGGUUAUUGGGUGUCUAUAUCUCCUUUAUGGGACAGGGAGCAUUAUCCAAUGAACACCAAUCCAGACAUAAUCACUCUAAAAUUAAAAAACAGACAAAUAAAAUAAGCAAGCAAAGAAGUCAAACAACAGGGGGGCUGAACGGACAAAGUCCAGAUUCAAGCACCCUGAACAACAGAAAAUUUCCAGCUCAGAUCCAUCUAGGAUCCCAUGUGUGCAUCCACAGGGUGAGCUAUUGCAGCAGUUACAACCCAGUGGUGCAGGCAGGUGCUCCACGACAUUCCAUGUGCAGAGUCCAACAUUUUUGCUUGGAAGUCUGUCUUUAUAUCUAAAGUGCUGUCUUCUCUCUGUAUAUAAAGUUGUGUUUCUCCAAAUUAUGACUAUUGGGAAACUAACACCACUUUCAGUGUAAUUUAACAUCAUUGUCCAUGGGGGAGAAAUAUAAUCCCAAAUUAAUGUGUAACUGGCUUCUGGGGAACUUCACUGGGAUAAAGGGACUUUUUUUGCCAAAACAGAACGGCAGUGCCAAAUUUUACAUUGUAUUGCAUUGCAUUUUGUCCUCUGCAAUUUGUGUACUGGGACCUGAGAUCAAAAAGUUAUUUUGAGAACAAUAAUGACUUUAAUGUAUUGCCUGCUUUUAUAUGAUUUCUUCCUCCUGACUCUUGUCUUCUGAUAUCAUACUGUAAUAAAUCACAAUGUCAGUUUCAGUUUAAAACAUAAUCAAGCUUCUAGCAGUUCACUAUUAGUAAAGGAAACCAGAAAAAAAUGUGAUAUCUUCUUGGAGAUUCAAAACCUGGGAAAUAAAUACAGAGAAUCUAUAACUGAUUUUUUUUCCCUUUCAAGUCUCAUAAUAUUUAAGUAAAGUUGUUUUUGGAACCCAA